Long non-coding RNA from Anneissia japonica, 684 nucleotides. RefSeq lists it as uncharacterized. NCBI's taxonomy places the organism in Eukaryota, Metazoa, Echinodermata, Crinoidea, Comatulida, Comatulidae. The transcript is spliced from 3 exons. The record is from RefSeq and is a predicted model, not a curated record.
UGUGGGCACGGCAAGAUGAGACCAGUCGGUGCGGACACUUCAACCCUAUGAUCAGUAUUUGGGAAAUAUCAUUUGCAUCGUAAGGUUUUUAUUAGAAUUUUCUGUCGUGUUACAAGGAAGAAACGUUCAUGUUAAUAUUCACUUUAUCCACAUUAUGACCAUAAAAUUUGAGUGAACAUUGCAACAGCAGAAAAUUUAUGCAGGUACUUUGCAUGAUGACAAUCCAUGUUGGCGGCCAUCACUAUACAACAAUAGGACCAUCAAAAACAGUGACAUUUACAAUACUUUUCCACUACACAGUUAAUAUGUCUCUCUGAAAAUCUUGUAAGUGUACACCUGUCCAAAUGUUUUCAAUCAACUUUGCAUUUUCAGUUUCAUUUUUAUAAUCAUGUCUUCUCUGAAUAGUGUCAUUAUGUAUUAAAAAAAAGAUUAAUAAAAAGACGUGUGCUGUAUUUUGAAGGUAUUAAUUAGUUUCAAUGAUGCUAACCGUUGCCAUUCAUCAGUUUCAUUACUUCUACAGAGCUGAAUUUUCCAGGAAAUCCAACAUUAGGGACUUUCAAUGAAGAUGUUAUAUUAUCAUAAAUAAUGCAGUGCAUAUUACAUUAUACUUGCAAGCCACCUGCUGUGUUCUCAUUUAUCUAAUCUGAAUUUUCAAGAAAUGUAUUCUUCAAGUGUCCUAUAAUA